Molecule: unclassified non-coding RNA, 392 nt
Filed under: soil metagenome
Description: partial contains 5.8S ribosomal RNA, internal transcribed spacer 2, and large subunit ribosomal RNA
Rfam family: 5.8S ribosomal RNA (bases 1-122)
Source: RNAcentral
GAUGAAGAACGUAGCGAAAUGCGAUACUUGGUGAGAAUUGCAGAAUCCCGUGAACCAUCGAGUCUUUGAACGCAAGUUGCGCCCGAAGCCAUUAGGCCGAGGGCACGCCUGCCUGGGCGUCACACGUCGUUGCCCCCCCCAUCUACUCCUUCGGGAUUGCGGGGGGCGGAUGAUGGCCUCCCGUGCGCCUCGCCGCGCGGUUGGCAUAAAUGCCAAGUCCUCGGCGACGCACGCCACGACAAUCGGUGGUUGCGAAACCUCGGUUGCCCGUCGUGUGCGGUCGUCGCGCAUCGAGGGCUCGAAAAAAUUGCCGGGUUCCGGCUCGGCUUUCAACGCGACCCCAGGUCAGGCGGGGUUACCCGCUGAAUUUAAGCAUAUCAAUAAGCGGAGGA